UUCAGUUUUACUGAGUGUGGGAAUCUUGCCCAGCCUCUGACAUCGUACAGGUUGAUACUCAUCAGGUUGCCCUUUUAUGGACCACGGCCUCUAGGGUCCAGUGUUCUUGCUUGGAGAAUCCCAGGGACAGUGGAGCCUGCUGGGUUGCAGUCCAUGGAGUCGCGAAGCAUCAGACACAACUGAGCGACCUCACUUUCACUUCUCACUUUCAUGCAUUGGAGAAGGAAAUGGCAACCCACUCCAGUGUUCUUGCCUGGAGAAUCCCAGGGACGGGGGAGCCUGGUGGGCUGCCAGCAGCAGCAGCAGGGACCUACAGUUCUGACAAGCAGGAGUGCAAGUUCACUCUGUCCUAGGAUUCCCAAAGGGGAGUACCGUGUCUGGAAAACUGACAACGAAUCAGCCAUCCAUGGCAACAGGCUGCCAGAGAGAAGAGCGGACCCCGAGAACACAAAGAAGCGAAAAUAUACGAUGACCCAAACAUGGCGCAAAAAGCUGAGAACUUUUUUCCCUUUGAACACAAAUGUGUGUCUCUUUUCCCUGGAAUAAAAGCUCAUUCCCUCUCCCAUCUGUGUGACAGCUGCAGCCCGUGUGCCGGACGUCAGCUAGAACAGGGCUUCUGCUCUUCCUGUCCCAGUCCGCACGGCUCCAUCCUUAUGUAGGGUUUGGUUUAAUGACUUUUACAGUAAUAAGCA
This 692-nucleotide long non-coding RNA is filed under the name Bos indicus x Bos taurus (hybrid cattle). RNAcentral's name for it is "lncRNA (ENSBIXG00000009491.1)". Lineage: Eukaryota; Metazoa; Chordata; Mammalia; Artiodactyla; Bovidae. The record is from RNAcentral.